UGGUAAUGACAGUGGAGAGAAGGUGUCUAUUUUGGCGGGUACCCUUGCUCGAUUAGAUAGAGAUGCUCCGCAGUAUAAAAAAGACGGCUACAAUGACUUCAACACAUUCUACAUGCAAGCUGCUUCGGGGACUAAAGGUGGUUCAAGUGGCUCACCUGUAAUUGAUUGGCAAGGAAGAGCUGUUGCCUUGAAUGCUGGGAGCAAGUUAUCAAGUGCAUCUGCUUUUUUCUUGCCUUUAGAACGAGUUGUCAGGUCACUCAAGUUCUUACAGGAAGGAGGAUAUCAUUCUACUAAUACAUGGGCAGCGGUCACGAUUCCUCGUGGUACACUUCAGGUGACCUUUCUCCAUAAAGGCUUUGAUGAGACACGCAGGCUUGGAGUUCAACGUGAGACAGAACAGUUGGUGCGCAAUUCAACUCCACCCUCUGAAACUGGAAUGCUUGUUAUCGAUUCCGUGGUUCCUGGUGGCCCGGCUCAUAAUCAAUUAGAGCCCGGUGAUGUGCUUGUUCGCAUGAAUGGGGAGAUUGUUACCCAGUUCCUGAAGAUGGAGACUUUACUCGAUGAUAGUGUUGAGCAGAAAAUUGAGCUUCAAAUUGAAAGGGGUGGCACUCCCUUGACAGUGGACUUGUUGGUUCAGGAUUUGCACUCAAUAACUCCUGACCACUUCUUGGAAGUUGGCGGUGCAGUGAUACACGCCCUUUCUUAUCAACAGGCUAGAAAUUUUCGUUUUAAUUGUGGUCUUGUCUAUGUCUCUGAACAAGGAUACAUGCUAUCUAGAGCAGGAGUUCCUCGCCACUCCAUCAUUAAAAAAUUUGCAGGGGAAGGUAUUUCAAGGCUUGAAGAAUUAAUUUCCGUUUUAUCUAAGUUGUCUAGGGGUGCAAGAGUACCAUUGGAGUAUA
RNAcentral lists this unclassified non-coding RNA (899 nucleotides) under Hevea brasiliensis (rubber tree). The record is from RNAcentral. Lineage: Eukaryota; Viridiplantae; Streptophyta; Magnoliopsida; Malpighiales; Euphorbiaceae.